UGAGAUUUAAAUUCUUAGAAAGCUUAAAACUAAAAUAGUUCUCAAUCGUUGGAUUACUAAAUUGGGGAUUAGUGAAUCCGGAUAGAUUGGUACAUACGUUGCUUGCUCAUUGGAUGAGGAUGAUUGAUCUCAUGAUCAUUUGUGUGGAGACACUAAAGCAUGUAUGUAGGUGCUAAAACAUUCCUCCAUGAAAGAUUUGGGAAGAGUAUCUUAAUUGGGGAUACAAAUAUAUAUAGAUAGAUUUAAGAGGAUGCUUGACUUAACCCAAGGAAUGUAUAUUCAUUUGAUUCUAAAGUCAUUUGGCAUGGAAAACUCCAAGAGUUGUCUCAUUUUGAUGAGCCAUAGAGUGUAUCUCUCUUAAUAGUCCCCAUGGACUCAUAAAAGAGAGAUCAAAUGAGUAACUAUCAUGUAUGCAAUGAAAUGUACGAGACAUGAUGUUAAUCAGUUAUAUUCUGGAGAAGUUCAUUAUGAGUCAGUUAAAAACAUCUUAAAGUACUUAACCGACACUAAGGGUGUGAUCAUAUUCAUGGUGGGUCUAAAUUAAAAUUUGAGGGCUUAACAGAUUCAAGUUUUUCAAACAGACCAAGAUGACAGAAAAUCACCUUUAAGGUAAAUGGUUACCUUGAACGGUGGUGCAGUGAAUUGGAAAGGUUUCGAACAGAAAAGAGUUUCUAGUUUAGUGAUAAAGACAAAUUAUAUAGCUAUAAAAGACGCUAAAAGUUGAUUGUUUGGAUGAAAAGUUCAUUACAGAAAUAGGAAUAGUUUAUAAGUCUCAUCUUGGAUCUAAACAUGUGUUGUGGCACUUUCAUUUGAUUAUAGGAAUCACUGAAAGAUGGGAAAUAACUAUACAGAUAAUGGACUCUCAAGAACAACAUUACAUAUCCAUUAACUAAAGCUUGUCCAAUAGCAGGAUAAUCGUCACUUAGAGAAGAAGGGUAUGGGAUACCAUGGCAAUUGGCUUUAGUGCAAGUGGGAGAUUGAAAUUAGUAUUCACACAAGCCAAUCAUGUUUGAUGAUAAAGCAUAUACUUUGUAACUAUCGUACUCAUUUAUUAAUAAAAAGUAUUAAUUUAUUAAAGGCUUUUAAUUAUCUACAUAAUACUGCUUUAUAAUAUGUGAUAAACCCAUAGUCUUAAGCAAUACUUUUAGAAUAAUGAUGAUGAUCAUCCUAAUGAGAUCUAAAUUCUUAGAAAGCUUAAAAUUAAAAUAGUUCUCAAUCGUUGGAUUACUAAAUUGGGGAUUAGUAAAUCCGGAUAGAUUGGUACAUAUGUUGCUUGCUCAUUGGAUGAGGAUGAUUGAUCUCAUGAUGUGGAGACAUUAAAGCAUGUAUGUAGGUGCUUAUUGGAGAAUAAGUUCACUGAACGUGGCUCGCUAAGGAAUACCUAAUGGAUUUUUACUUGCCUGUCAAU
RNAcentral lists this long non-coding RNA (1408 nucleotides) under Panax ginseng (ginseng). RNAcentral describes it as "long non-coding RNA (PGIN_LNC000533)". The record is from RNAcentral. Lineage: Eukaryota; Viridiplantae; Streptophyta; Magnoliopsida; Apiales; Araliaceae.